CCAACCAAUGAGAAUUAAGUAAAUAAUAAUAAUAAUAUACAUAAAAGAUUAAUCCACCAAUUCAUGGGCUUUCACUAUUCCAAGAUUGGUCCAAUGAAUUGCAUUCCAGUAUUUGUCAACGUCUCGAACAUGAUGACUUAAAUUUGUAGCAACAAAGUCUUGGACAAAAGCAUUCAUCUUUGAUUUUAAUUGUCGUGCUUUGCUUCGAGUGAUUGGACCACUAGGAAAAACAACCCCUUGAGUGUCACCUCCUUGGCUCGUAUCAUUCUCCCCCUCUUCAACAAGAUUCGUCCUCGAAUUUGAACCCACAUCAAAUUCAAAAUGAGAAAGGUCAGAAACAUUGAAAGUAGCACUAACACUAUACUCACCAGGAAGAUCAAUGCGAUAAGCAUUGUCAUUUAUUUUCUCGAGUACUUGGAAUGGUCCAUCCCCUCGUGCAUCAAGUUUAUUCUUUCUCUUAGAAGGAAAUCAUUCCUUCCUCAUAUGUACCCAUACCCAAUCUCCAGGUUCAAGCAAGACUUGCUUUCGCCCUUUAUUAGCUCGAUGUGCAUUGGACUCAUUCUUUUUCUCAAUGGCUUUACGAGCCUUCUCAUGGAUCUUUUUCACUAAAUCAGCUUUCCUUUCACCAUCUAAAUUAGCAAUCUCAUUCAAAGGUAAAGGAAGCAAAUCUAAAACAGUAAGUGGAUUAAAGCCAUAUACAAUCUCAAAAGGAGUAAAACCUGUGGAAGAAUGAACAGAACGAUUAUAAGCAAACUCAACAUAGGGUAUCCAUUCUUCCCAAGAUUUAACAUUCUUACCUAUUAUGGCUCUAAGCAAAGAUCCCAUAACUCGAUUUACCACCUCAGUUUGACCAUCAGUUUGAGGGUGGCAUGUAGUAGAGUAAAGUAGUUUAGUACCUAACUUACCCCAUAACACAUUCCAAAAGUGACUAAGAAAUUUUGCAUCUCUAUCGGAAACGGUAGUCCUUGGGAUUCCAUGUAAUCUCACAACUUCAUGGAAAAAUAGAUCGGCAACAUGGGUUGCAUCAUCAGUCUUAUGGCAUGGAAUGGAAUGAGCCAUUUUAGAAAAUCGAUCCACAACCACAAAGAUGCUAUCUCGUCCACGCUUUGUCCUUGGUAAACCUAUUACAAAAUCCAUUGAAAUGUCAGUCCAAGGUGAACUAGGAACAGGAAGAGGAGUAUAUAGACCAUGAGGCAUCACAGUGGAUUUAGCUUGUUUACAAGUAAUGCAAGUAGAGCAAAUUUUUUGAACAAGUUUUCGCAUGUUAGGCCAAUAAAAAUGCUCAUGUAAACAUCAUAAGUCUUAGUGACUCCAAAAUAACCCAUAAGACUACCACUAUGAGCCUCUCGAACCAACAAUUCUCACAUUGAACACUUUGGUAAGUAUAGUCUAUUAUUUCGAAAAAUAUAGCCAUCAUGCUUAUAAAAUUUGUGAAAUGCACCAUGUUCACAUGCGUCAUAAAUGCUUGCAAAAUUAGAAUCAGUGGCAUAUAAAUCUUUGAGAUAGUCAAAACCUAAUAACUUAGUAUGCAAAGUACUAAGUAAAGUGUACCUCCUUGAUAGAGCAUCAGCCACAAUAUUAUCUUUACCUUUCUUAUAUCUUAUAACAUAAGGAAAAGAUUCAAUGAAUUCAACCCACCUCGCAUGUCGCUUGUUCAACUUACCUUGUCCCUUUAAGUGCUUAAGUGAUUCAUGGUCAGUGUGAAUCACAAACUCCUUUGGUAAAAGGUAAUGUUGCCAAACUUCUAAUGCCCUUACCAAGGCAUACAACUCUUUAUCAUAGGUCGAAUAGUUUAAAUGUGCUCCACCAAGUUUCUCACUAAAGUAGGCUAGUGGUUUACUAUCUUGCAUGAGGACGGCACCUAUACCUACACCAGAAGCAUCACAUUCAAUCUCAAAGGUCUUUUUAAAAUUAGGUAAAACAAGAAUAGGAGCAUUACACAAUUUAUCUUUAAGUUCAUUAAAUGCUAAUUCUUGCUUAUCUGUCCAAUGAAAAGAUACAUCCUUUUUAAUAAGUGCAGUCAAAGGCAAAGCAAUUGUGGAAAAGUUACGAACAAACCUGCGGUAGAAACUGACUAACCCAAGGAAAGACCUUACUUCAGAAACAGUUUUAGGGAUAGGCCAAUCUUUAAUUGCCUUUACCUUCUCCUCAUUCACAUGGAUUCCUGUAGAACUUAUCACAAAACCCAAAAAAACAAGCUUAUCCAUACAAAAGGUGCAUUUUUUAAUAUUAGCAAAGAGUCGUUCAUGCCUUAACACAUCCAAUACUAAUUUAACAUGCCCAACAUGAUCAUUCAAAUUUUUGCUAUAAAUCAGUAUGUCAUCAAAAUACACAACGACAAAUAUUCCUAAAAAAGGUCUAAGUAUGUGGUUUAUUAAUCUCAUGAAUGUGCUAGGAGCAUUAGUUAAGCCAAAUGGCAUAACUAACCACUCAUACAGGCCAUACUUAGUCUUAAAAGCAGUUUUCCAUUCAUCAUCUUGUUUCAUUCUUAUUUGAUGGUAACCACUUUUUAAGUCAAUUUUAGAGAAAGUGCAUGCACCAUUAAGCUCAUCCAACAUAUCAUCUAAUCGAAGAAUUGGAUAUUGAUACUUUACCGUGAUCUUGUUGACAGCACGACAAUCAACACACAUUCUCUAAGAACCAUAUUUUUUUGGGAUAAGAAGUAUAGGGACUGCACAAGGGCUUAGACUCUCACGAAUCAACCCUUUCUCUAAGAGAUCUUCAACUUGCCUUUGUAACUCUUUAGUUUCUUCAGGAUUUCUUCGAUAGACUGGUCUAUUCGGAAUACUCGAACCAGGCACAAAUUUAAUUUGAUGGUCAAUCCCUCGUAAAGGAGGUAAUCCCUUAGGCAUUUCAGAAGGAAUACAUCCUCAAAAUCCUGCAAAAGAUCAACAAAAUAACUAGGAAAAUGUGUAUUAGGGUUAGUCAAAAUAAAGUUUUCCCUAAACCUAAUAAUUACAAAUGUUUGUUUUGUACAAAGAGCAAAUUUGAUAUCUCGAAACCUAGCGAAUAAACUCACUUUCUCAUCUCGUGACUUGUGUGUGCAAUCACUCACCAAUGUUGGGCCUUUAAGUUGGCUUUUAACACUAAGGGCCUCUUUACUCUCAGCCUUUUUCAAUGAUUUUACCUCACUUCCCUUACCCAUCUCACUAGAAAGUUUAAGUUGAUCAUUGUAGACUUCUUGAGGAGGAAGUGGAGCCAAAGUAAACUUCUUUCCAAGGAACACAAAGGUAUAUUGGUUAAGGAAACCAUCAUGAUUUACUCGUCGAUCAAACUGCCAUGGCCGUCCAAGUAAUAUGUGCCCAGCUUGCAUUGGAACAACAUCACACAAAACUUUAUCAGAGUAUCUACCAAUGGAAAAUGAAACUAAGCAUUGUUUAGAUACUUUUACCUCCCCACUAUCAUUCAACCAUUGCAAGCGGUAUGGCCUUGGAUGCUUCACACAAGGUAGGCCAAGUUUCUCAACAAGGGAAGAACUUACCACAUUGGUGCAACUUCCGCUAUCGAUGAUCAAUGAACUAGGUUGUCCACUAAUCAAACAUCUCGUGUGGAAAAUGUUAUCUCUUUGUUCGCGCCCUUUCUCUUUAAACUGGAUAUUUAAAGCCCUUCGAGCAACACGUGCUUCUCACCAUACUCCAAGUAUUCUUCAUACUCAUCAUGAGUAUGCACAUCAUCAGCAUCUUCCAAAUGAGGCAUCUCAUCUUCGUUAUCAGACUCAAAAUCAACCUCGCCAUCUUCUCGAAUCACCAAUGACUUUUUAUUAGGGCAUUCUCGAGCAUAGCGACCCCUUCCUUGGCAUUUGAAGUAGGUAAUAUCUUUUGGCUGCUUAAUGGCACUAGGAGAAGUAGAAGAAGAAGAUAGAGCUCGAUUAGUAGAAGUAGAACCUUUAAGUGAAUUAGGCAUACCUCUAUAUUUGGAGUAAGUUCUAGGCUCAUUUGGCUUGAACUGUGCAUCUUUCCCAUUCCACAGUCUAUCAUCUUGUUUUUUCCAAUUUCCUCUCCAAGCAGGAUUAGAAACUGAACUAACACCCCUCGUUGUCCCUUUCUUUCGUAAUUUCUUUUCAAUGGUGAGUGCGGUUUGAAGUAUCUCUUCAACAUCCAUGGAGUGUUGUAAUUCAACUCGAUUUGCAAUCUCAGGCUUUAGGCCGGCAAGGAAUCUAGCUAUAGUCACCUCAGCCUCUUCAACAAGAUUGGCUCUAAUCUGAAUAGUCUCCAUCUCUUUGUAGUAGUCGUCCACAGAUCUAUCUCCUUGAACAAGAUGUUGGAGUCUUUGAUGGAGUUCUCGAUAAUAGUAUGGUGGAACAAACCAUUUUCGCAAGAUGCACUUCAUUUCAACCCAAGUAGUAACAGGUUGCUCUCUAUAAAGAAUCCUGCUUUUACAUAAUUGAUUCCACCAUGUUAGUGCAUAAUUAAUGAACUCAGCGACAGCGUAUGUUACCUUUUUCUCAUCAGAGUAAUUGUAACAAGCAAAGACUGCUUCCAUCUUUUCCUCCCAAUCAAGGUAAGCAUCAUGAUCAUUCUUCCCUAAGAAAGAAGGAAAUUUUGGUUUGGAGGUGUCAUUGUUUUGUUCCAACCUUUCUCUAGGUACAUACUCGAACUCAAAGUCAUCAUCAAAAACAUGGUCCUCCCUUCGUUUAAAAGUUCGAUCUUGCAAAUUUGAUCGGCUUAGAAAGGCUUCGUUCAACUUUUUGUAAUUAUCGGCAAUGUAUCUCUCUUGAGUUGUAAGUUUUGUAUCAAGAUACUCCCUUUGCUCUUGUAACAUCUGGAUCAUGCGAUGUUCGAAUUGAGUUUGCAACUUUUUCAUCUCUUUUUGUAACAACUUGACCAAAGGAUCGUUCUCUCUUUUUUGCUCAUCCUCUUCAUUUUUACUAGUUUGGGAUCUAGUGAGCGGCAUGGUAUCUGUGAAAGAUCAAACAAACAGGAACAAGAAAGAAAAAAUAAUAAUAACCUCACUCGUUAGCUCUCAAAAGAAUAACUCUCUGAAUGAUUCAAAACUUGUAAAUAUGUUUGGAAAGGUUACUAAUCAAGAUCAAAUAACGGAAGUGCAAACUUCAAAGAGACAAUGAAGACCCUAAUUGCUCUAAGAGGCCAAUAAACUUGACGAGGCAAUUUGUAAUGGAGGCUAUACGGAUGAAGGAAUUGUGCGUGCCUUUAAUAUCUGCUAACACAAGAAGAAACAAAGUGUUAGAAAGUGUAAGAGAAACAAAAAAAAAACGUAGACCUGCAACGAUCCCUAACUCUAGAGUCAAAAAAAAACUUUAAUAAGAAGAACACUUAAGAAAACUCUACCCAAUUAAAAAAAAAAUCAGAAAUGUUUGGUGUCUUAAGAUUUUCAAAAAUUGAAGCUUUAAUUAUACUUGACUCAAGAAAAGAAGAAGGAAAAGAAAUUUAAUUUUGGGAAAAAUAAAAUAAAAAUAAUAACAAUAAUAGGAAAAGAAGAAACCUACGUAUGAAAGGUAGGCAACUUUUUUUUGCGGUUUUUUUUACACUUUUUGCUUUUCUUUUAAAGAAUAAGAGGAGAAAAAAAAUUGACGAAACCGAUGAGAAGUGUUUUUGGUAUUUUGACUCGUUUCGGAUAUGAUUUUAGCUUCAAAAAUAACAUCGAAUGGCUUGAAACUGAUACCAACUGAUGCGGAAAUCCCAGAUCUAGACACAAGAGAAACACAAAUAGAAAUAAAACGAGAAUAAAUAAAAUUAGUUAAAUAAUAAAAGGAUAGAUUUGCCCUAUGAAACCCUUGGUUAACUUGUAACCAAAAACGCCAAUGAUUGAGCGGCUCCCUACGAAACCCCUAGAAGAAGAACCUCUAGAAACACCGAUGAACGGGAAAGAAAUUUGAAUAUUUGUAACUCCGAAAUACCCUCGAAAGUAACAAACUCCAAACUAAAUAGCAAGAGAAGAAUCACUCUACUCUAAAAAAUUUUCCUCACACAAAUUUGGAAGAAAACAAAUACUCUCUUUUUAUUCCCCCUCCAAUGUGUAGAAAGGAAGCCAAUUUAUAGGCAAAUUACAAGAGUAAUUGAAUCCUAAUAAAACUCUUUCAAGAGUAAUUGAAUCCUAAUAAAACUCUUUCAAGAGUAAUUGAAUCCUAAUAAAAACUCUUUAAAAUUAUCUAAGAAAAUAAAUAAAUAAUAACCUAACCAAUAAAAUUACUUAAUUCAUAAGUGAUGUGUCCCAACCAAUGAGAAUUAAGUAAAUAAUAAUAAGAUACAUAAAAGAUUAAUCCACCAAUUCAUGGGCUUUCACUAUUCUAAGAUUGGUCCAGUGAAUUGCAUUCCCGUAUUUGUCAACGUCACGAACAUGAUGACUUAAAUUUGUAGCAACAAAGUCUUGGACAAAAGCAUUCAUAUUUGAUUUUAAUUGUCGUGCUUUGCUUCGAGUGAUUGGACCACUAGGAAAAACAACCCCUUGAGUGUCACCUCCUUGGCUCGUAU
This 6431-nucleotide long non-coding RNA is filed under the name Gossypium barbadense (sea-island cotton). RNAcentral describes it as "long non-coding RNA (GBAR_LNC018035)". The record is from RNAcentral. Lineage: Eukaryota; Viridiplantae; Streptophyta; Magnoliopsida; Malvales; Malvaceae.